AUCCAGAGAAUUUAGCAGAGAUGCUUUAGUGCCUUCGGGAACUCUGAGACAGGUGCUGCAUGGCUGUCGUCAGCUCGUGUUGUGAAAUGUUGGGUUAAGUCCCGCAACGAGCGCAACCCUUUAUCCUUUGUUGCCAGCACGUAAUGGUGGGAACUCAAAGGAGACUGCCGGUGAUAAACCGGAGGAAGUGGGGAUGACGUCAAGUCAUCAUGGCCCUUACGAGUAGGGCUACACACGUGCUACAAUGGCGCAUACAAAGAGAAGCGACCUCGCGAGAGCAAGCGGACCUCAUAAAGUGCGUCGUAGUCCGGAUUGGAGUCUGCAACUCGACUCCAUGAAGUCGGAAUCGCUAGUAAUCGUAAAUCAGAAUGUUACGGUGAAUACGUUCCCGGGCCUUGUACACACCGCCCGUCACACCAUGGGAGUGGGUUGCAAAAGAAGUAGAUAGCUUAACCUUCGGGAGGGCGUUUACCACUUUGUGAUUCAUGACUGGGGUGAAGUCGUAACAAGGUAGGCGUAGUGCU
RNAcentral lists this ribosomal RNA (524 nucleotides) under uncultured bacterium. RNAcentral's name for it is "bacterial SSU rRNA". It matches the Rfam family "Bacterial small subunit ribosomal RNA", at positions 986 to 1509 of the family's 1533-position model. The record is from RNAcentral.